CUACGGGUUGCUCCAGUGGGGAAUUUUGCGCAAUGGGGGAAACCCUGACGCAGCAACGCCGCGUGAAGGAUGAAGGCCUUUGGGUCGUAAACUUCUGUCAGUGGGAAAGAAAUACUCGUAAGAGGGAUGACGGUACCCACAAAGGAAGCACCGGCUAACUCCGUGCCAGCAGCCGCGGUAAUACGGAGGGUGCAAGCGUUGUUCGGAAUUAUUGGGCGUAAAGAGCAUGUAGGCGGACUGUUAAGUCUGGUGUGAAAGCCCGGGGCUCAACCCCGGAAGUGCAUUGGAUACUGGCAGUCUUGAGUAUGGGAGAGGAAAGUGGAAUUCCGAGUGUAGGAGUGAAAUCCGUAGAUAUUCGGAGGAACACCAGUGGCGAAGGCGGCUUUCUGGACCAAUACUGACGCUGAGAUGCGAAAGCGUGGGGAGCAAACAGGAUUAGAUACCCCAGUAGUC
This 453-nucleotide ribosomal RNA is filed under the name uncultured bacterium. RNAcentral's name for it is "partial 16S ribosomal RNA". It matches the Rfam family "Bacterial small subunit ribosomal RNA", at positions 339 to 795 of the family's 1533-position model. The record is from RNAcentral.